This 68-nucleotide transfer RNA is filed under the name Schizocephala bicornis. Its description in RNAcentral is "tRNA-Tyr". It matches the Rfam family "tRNA". From Rfam's summary of the family: Transfer RNA (tRNA) molecules are approximately 80 nucleotides in length. Their secondary structure includes four short double-helical elements and three loops (D, anti-codon, and T loops). Further hydrogen bonds mediate the characteristic L-shaped molecular structure. tRNAs have two regions of fundamental functional importance: the anti-codon, which is responsible for specific mRNA codon recognition, and the 3' end, to which the tRNAs corresponding amino acid is attached (by aminoacyl-tRNA synthetases). tRNAs cope with the degeneracy of the genetic code in two manners: having more than one tRNA (with a specific anti-codon) for a particular amino acid; and 'wobble' base-pairing, i.e. permitting non-standard base-pairing at the 3rd anti-codon position. Lineage: Eukaryota; Metazoa; Arthropoda; Insecta; Mantodea; Mantidae. The record is from RNAcentral.
GGUAAGAUGGCUGAGGUUAAUAAGUAAUAGUUUGUAAAACUAUAGAGAAGUAUAAUACUUUUUUACCA